CUGCCAAACACAAUAGUUCUACUAAACAAGAUUAACAUUUUAAACGUGCAUUGGAACAUGUGUUAAACAUGUGUUAGGCUUAAACCAAACUAUAUUUAAUUCGAUCAGAACACUUGGAUUUUGCGUAUUAACAUUUACUAUAAAAAACUUAAACGUAAUUUCCUCCUUGUUCACUUUAUUUCCUUCUAUUUAACACGUCGGGUUUGUAUGGUUCCAGAGGAAAGAAAAGAAAAUCGAGAGAGAGAAGAAGAAAGAGAAGCUCCAGGAGAAAAGAAAGUCCCGAGAGAGAAGAAGAAAAGAAGCUCUAGUGAAAAUCAGAGAAAAAGAAAAGGAAGAAAGUGUGUGGAGAAUGAAGAUGACUGAAGCAGAAGGAGAAACUGAUGGAAGAAAGAGCACAGAAAAAACAAGUGUAACAACAGAGACAGAACUAAGACGCAUAGACACAAAAUGGGGUGGAAUUACUCUUAGCUUAGUAAUGGUUUUUUUGAAGAUGACCGUUCCAGACAACAUUAUGUCUACUUGAAAAAAUUUCUAUAACAAGUUUAAUGACC
Molecule: small RNA, 551 nt
Filed under: Vigna angularis var. angularis
Lineage: Eukaryota; Viridiplantae; Streptophyta; Magnoliopsida; Fabales; Fabaceae
Description: Non-protein coding transcript
Source: RNAcentral